AAGGUGCCCAUAGGGUGGUUAUAGCGUACACAAGGUACCCCAUAGGCUACCCCAUAGGGUGCCCCACAGGGUGCCCCAUAGGAUAUCCCAUAGGAUACCAUAAAUACCCCAUAGGAUACCCCAUAGGAUACCCCAUAGGGUACCCCAUAGGAUACCCCAUAGGGUGGCUAUAGGGUGGCUAUAGGAUACCCCAUAGGGUGGCUAUAGGAUACCCCAUAGGAUACCCCAUAGGAUACCCCAUAGGGCGGCUAUAGGGUACCC
Molecule: long non-coding RNA, 261 nt
Filed under: Coturnix japonica (Japanese quail)
Lineage: Eukaryota; Metazoa; Chordata; Aves; Galliformes; Phasianidae
Description: lncRNA (ENSCJPG00005002709.1)
Source: RNAcentral